RNAcentral lists this ribosomal RNA (433 nucleotides) under uncultured bacterium. Its description in RNAcentral is "partial 16S ribosomal RNA". It matches the Rfam family "Bacterial small subunit ribosomal RNA", at positions 31 to 507 of the family's 1533-position model. The record is from RNAcentral.
GGGGGGGGCGGGGGGGGGGGCUGGCAGGGGCGGGGGGAGGGGGACGGGGGGGGCGGGGGGGGCAGGGGGGCGUAACGCGGGGGAACCUGCCCUUAGGGUCGGAAUAACUCCCCGAAAGGGGUGCUAAUACCGGAUAAUGUCUUCGGACCAAAGAUUUAUCGCCUUUGGAUGGGCCCGCGUUGGAUUAGCUAGUUGGUAGGGUAAAAGCCUACCAAGGCGACGAUCCAUAGCUGGUCUGAGAGGAUGAUCAGCCACACUGGGACUGCGACACGGCCCAGACUCGUACGGGAGGCAGAAGUGGGGAAUAUUGGACCAUGGGCGAAAGCCUGAUCCAGCAAUGCCGCGUGAGUGAUGAAGGCAUUAGGGUUGUAAAGCUCUUUUACCCGGGAUGAUAAUGACAGUACCGGGAGAAUAAGCGCCGGCUAACUCCGUG